RNAcentral lists this long non-coding RNA (230 nucleotides) under Vigna radiata. Its description in RNAcentral is "long non-coding RNA (VRAD_LNC015334)". The record is from RNAcentral. Lineage: Eukaryota; Viridiplantae; Streptophyta; Magnoliopsida; Fabales; Fabaceae.
UCCCAAUCAAGCAGAUCGUUGGGGAUGUGUACCAUGAUGAACACUGCCCCAAUACUAUAUUCAUAACAAUCCUUUGUUUUAAUAGAAAACGAAAAGGUUGAGGGUUCAAGUAGUAUGAAUGCAUAUGCUCUAGCCGGAAAGAACGAUGGUUACCCACGAAACCCUGCAUCCAGAGGAAACCCAACUUUGGUAUUUUUUUCAAAAUUUAUUUUGCUUUUGUUUUUCGAAAA